UCCUUUUUAGUUUAUGAAAAACACUGAUUUUGUAAAUCAAAGAAAUACAAAGGAA
RNAcentral lists this transfer RNA (55 nucleotides) under Lepidoglyphus destructor. RNAcentral's name for it is "tRNA-Thr". The record is from RNAcentral. Lineage: Eukaryota; Metazoa; Arthropoda; Arachnida; Sarcoptiformes; Glycyphagidae.